ACUUAAGUAGUUUAAUUUAGAACAGUAAUUUGUGGUGUUACUAGUGCAUUAUUGCCUUAGGUU
This 63-nucleotide transfer RNA is filed under the name Nysius cymoides. Its description in RNAcentral is "tRNA-His". Lineage: Eukaryota; Metazoa; Arthropoda; Insecta; Hemiptera; Lygaeidae. RNAcentral also lists the same sequence under 1 other name. The record is from RNAcentral.